Molecule: long non-coding RNA, 1828 nt
Filed under: Aphidius gifuensis
Lineage: Eukaryota; Metazoa; Arthropoda; Insecta; Hymenoptera; Braconidae
Description: uncharacterized LOC122858625
Source: RNAcentral
UUAUAUUUAUUUUUGAAUUUAUUUGGUGGAUUAUUGGUUUAUUUUCAAAAUUAUCUUUCUUCAUGGUAUGUGGAUCAAUAGAGCAAAUAUCCGGUCUUGGAUUAUCUUCUCGGAUUGUAACGACAAUAUUGCUAGUAGGAUUUAUUCUGAUGAUUAUAUUUCCCUUUGAAUCAUCAUCAAAUAUUCAGUGGUCCAACCACAUGUAUAAUGACUUUGACAUUUAUGAGUUAUUAGAGCAACAAAUGACUCAUGACAUGCCAAUUUUAGGAAGUCAAUUUUCAAUAUCAAUUGGUAAUAAAAAUAAUGAAAUAACAAGUGAUUCUGGAAGGAUUACAUUUAGGAUUGUGCAGAAUGCCAGUCGAUCAUCAGAUGGAAUAAUUAGGCCAAGUAAUAACAGAGUUGGUAUUUGUAUAUUAACUCAUUGCAUGACUAUAAAUAUCCUGAACAAAUAUUUUUAAUACUAUCAAAUCGAAAAAAGUAAAUAAAAAAAAUAAUCAAUAUUUAAUAUUUGGAAAAGUAAAUUUAAAAAUAUCACAAAGCUUUGAUGUAAAAAGUAUUAUAGAAUUAAAAUUAUCUAUAAAAAUAAAAAUAAAUAUUAACAUUUUUCUUGUUACAAUAUCACAAAGCUUUGAUGUAAAAAAUAUUAUAGAAUUAAAAUUAUCUACUAGCUGGGGAAAAUAUAAAUUAAGUUACAAAUUUUUCAAAUAAAUGUAAUAAUUAUUUUAUUCAUAAAAUAUUUUUCAGUCUAGUAUAUUACAAAAAAUAAAAAGGAAAUUUAAUUAAAAAUUAUCAAAGAUAUAAGUUAAUUUAAAAAGAUAGGGAUACAAUUUUUAAAAUGUAAAUUUAUAUUGAGAAAUUAGUUUUAAAUUUAUUCGGGAUAUAUGAUGCCUUCAGGAUAUUUUUUUAACAUGAUUUUUUAGUCAUGGUGAAUGAAAAUCAAUCACUCGAGUUAUUUGCAAAUAUCAAUUUCAAAAUAAAAAAUAUUUCAUGUCAUAAAAAAGCCAUCAUAACAUGUAAUAAAUGAAGUUAAUUAUUCAAAGCUUUUGUUGGAUCAACUGCUGAGCAUGGAUGAAGUUGAUAAACAACAAAUUCCAAAUAUAAAAUCAGAAAAAUACUUGAGUAAUUUGAAUGCCAUAAAAGCCAUUGACAAAUAUGAUUCGAGUGACAGUGACCGAGCAAGGCAAUCAUACGUAAGUUCAAAUUCAACCAAACUAAAUUUCAACUCUCCAAACUCAAUUGACGAAUCGAGUGACAUGAAAUUUGAAGAUUCUGAUGAUGCUAUAAAUUUUCCAGAAUCUACUAAACAAGCACAAAAAAUUGAACAAAUUGAAAUAAUGAUGUCGGUAAUAAAUCUUGAUACGACAUCCAACAACACAGUGGAUCAUAUGUCUAAUGAUAAACGUGAUACGGAAUCUGAGGAAAUUGAAUUACGCGUGUCAACAUUAACCACGGAGAAUGGAGAAUUUGAGUAAAUAAUUUGAGUAAAUAUUUUCAGCAUCAGGUAAUUUUAAAUAAACAAAAUUACCUACAAUUAAUUUUUAAAAUGCAAGAAAAAUAUUUUAAUAUUUAUUUAAAAUUACACAGCUAAAAAAAAUAAUUUUUUCUAUUGUAAAUUAAAUAAUAUAAAAUAAUUAUUAAAUUAUCUCAUUAAAAUAUGAAAAAUUUUGAUCUUGUUAAAUUUCAUAAUUUUGAUAUUCUUUGAUUGCUUUAUUAAAUUUUUAUCAUGAUAAAAAUAAAAGCAUUUUAUUUUACAAAAAAGUUAUCAUAAUUAACGAGACGAGAAUUUUGUAAUAAUAUUGAAUUAAAUAAAUUUUAAAUGAACAAAUUA